This 435-nucleotide ribosomal RNA is filed under the name uncultured Flavobacterium sp. Its description in RNAcentral is "bacterial SSU rRNA". It matches the Rfam family "Bacterial small subunit ribosomal RNA", at positions 358 to 790 of the family's 1533-position model. The record is from RNAcentral. Lineage: Bacteria; Pseudomonadati; Bacteroidota; Flavobacteriia; Flavobacteriales; Flavobacteriaceae.
GGAAUAUUGGUCAAUGGGCGCAAGCCUGAACCAGCCGUGCCGCGUGCAGGAUGACGGUCCUAUGGAUUGUAAACUGCUUUUGUACGAGAAGAAACAACAUUACGUGUAAUGUCUUGACGGUAUCGUAAGAAUAAGGAUCGGCUAACUCCGUGCCAGCAGCCGCGGUGAUACGGAGGAUCCAAGCGUUAUCCGGAAUCAUUGGGUUUAAAGGGUCCGUAGGCGGUUUAGUAAGUCAGUGGUGAAAGCCCAUCGCUCAACGGUGGAACGGCCAUUGAUACUGCUAAACUUGAAUUAUUAGGAAGUAACUAGAAUAUGUAGUGUAGCGGUGAAAUGCUUAGAGAUUACAUGGAAUACCAAUUGCGAAGGCAGGUUACUACUAAUGGAUUGACGCUGAUGGACGAAAGCGUGGGUAGCGAACAGGAUUAGAUACCCCGG